Molecule: ribosomal RNA, 253 nt
Filed under: uncultured bacterium
Lineage: Bacteria
Description: partial 16S ribosomal RNA
Rfam family: Archaeal small subunit ribosomal RNA
Source: RNAcentral
UACCAGCACCCCGAGUGGUCGGGACGAUUAUUGGGCCUAAAGCAUCCGUAGCCGGUCCUGCAAGUCCUCCGUUAAAUCCACCCGCUCAACGGUUGGGCCGCGGGGGAUACUACAGGGCUAGGAGGCGGGAGAGGCAAGCGGUACUCGAUGGGUAGGGGUAAAAUCCACUGAUCCAUUGAAGACCACCAGUGGCGAAGGCGGCUUGCCAGAACGCGAUCGACGGUGAGGGAUGAAAGCUGGGGGAGCAAACCGG